RNAcentral lists this ribosomal RNA (403 nucleotides) under uncultured bacterium. RNAcentral's name for it is "partial 16S ribosomal RNA". It matches the Rfam family "Bacterial small subunit ribosomal RNA", at positions 30 to 526 of the family's 1533-position model. The record is from RNAcentral.
AUUGAACGCUGGCGGCAGGCCUAACACAUGCAAGUAGAACGAGAGGCGGACGGGUGAGUAAUGUAUGGGGACUGCCCGAUAGAGGGGGAUAACUACGGGAAACGGUAGCUAAUACAGCAUAAUAACGGAUAACCCAUAUGGGAUUAGCUAGUAGGUGAGGGAAUGGCUCACCUAGGCGACGAUCCCUCGCUGGUCUGAGAGGAUGAUCAGCCACACUGGACCUGAGACACGGCCCAGACUCCUACGGAGGCAGCAGUGGUGAAUAUUGCACAAUGGGCGCAAGCCUGAUGCAGCCAUGCCGCGUGUAUGAAGAAGGCCCUAGGGUUGUAAAGUACUUUCAGUCGGGAGGCGUUACCGACAGAAGAAGCACCGGCUAACUCCGUGCCAGCAGCCGCGGUAAUUC